UGUGUGUAGUUUAAAAAAAAUACCAAGCUGUGACCUUGACAAUAGGAUA
This 49-nucleotide transfer RNA is filed under the name Pseudechis papuanus. RNAcentral describes it as "partial tRNA-His". Lineage: Eukaryota; Metazoa; Chordata; Lepidosauria; Squamata; Elapidae. The record is from RNAcentral.